GACACCUUGGCCGAGUUGGUUAUGGCGGUAGACUAGAAAUCUACUUCCUUCGGGAGCACAGGUUCGAGUCCUGUAGGUGUCG
Molecule: non-coding RNA, 82 nt
Organism: Planoprotostelium fungivorum
Lineage: Eukaryota; Evosea; Variosea; Cavosteliida; Cavosteliaceae
Source: the annotation of a GenBank genome assembly